UACGUAGGGUCCGAGCGUUGUCCGGAAUUAUUGGGCGUAAAGGGCUCGUAGGCGGUUUGUCGCGUCGGGCGUGAAAACACCGGGCUUAACUCGGUGCUUGCUUUCGAUACGGGCAGACUAGAGGCAUGCAGGGGAGAACGGAAUUCCUGGUGUAGCGGUGAAAUGCGCAGAUAUCAGGAGGAACACCGGUGGCGAAGGCGGUUCUCUGGGCAUGUCCUGACGCUGAGGAGCGAAAGCCAGGGGAGCAAACGGG
Molecule: ribosomal RNA, 253 nt
Filed under: uncultured bacterium
Lineage: Bacteria
Description: partial 16S ribosomal RNA
Rfam family: Bacterial small subunit ribosomal RNA
Source: RNAcentral